This is a long non-coding RNA of Brassica napus (rape), 151 nucleotides long. RefSeq lists it as uncharacterized. NCBI's taxonomy places the organism in Eukaryota, Viridiplantae, Streptophyta, Magnoliopsida, Brassicales, Brassicaceae. The record is from RefSeq and is a predicted model, not a curated record. The transcript has 2 exons.
ACUAGGGCCGGCGUCCGCGUUGCGCGCGGAUUACAUGUUUAAUAAAAAUCAGGGGAGAAGUUCGAAACGGUGAUCAUUUUUUUAAAAAAAACAACUGUAAGUAUGAAUAAUAAAUAGUUUUGAGGAAUUCGAUAUUUGAAUGAGAAAAUAA